GACUUAAAUCCGUUGGCUUUAUAGACCGUGAG
RNAcentral lists this transfer RNA (32 nucleotides) under Picea rubens. RNAcentral describes it as "partial tRNA-Leu". Lineage: Eukaryota; Viridiplantae; Streptophyta; Pinopsida; Pinales; Pinaceae. RNAcentral also lists the same sequence under 1 other name. The record is from RNAcentral.